GAAUACCCGCUGAACUUAAGCAUAUCAUUUAGCGGAGGA
RNAcentral lists this ribosomal RNA (39 nucleotides) under Radopholus similis. RNAcentral describes it as "partial 28S ribosomal RNA". Lineage: Eukaryota; Metazoa; Nematoda; Chromadorea; Rhabditida; Pratylenchidae. The record is from RNAcentral.